UACGAAGGGGGCUAGCGUUGCUCGGAAUCACUGGGCGUAAAGGGUGCGUAGGUGGAUCUUUAAGUCAGGGGUGAAAUCCUGGAGCUCAACUCCAGAACUGCCUUUGAUACUGAGGAUCUUGAGUUCGGGAGAGGUGAGUGGAACUGCGAGUGUAGAGGUGAAAUUCGUAGAUAUUCGCAAGAACACCAGUGGCGAAGGCGGCUCACUGGCCCGAUACUGACACUGAGGCACGAAAGCGUGGGGAGCAAACAGG
RNAcentral lists this ribosomal RNA (253 nucleotides) under uncultured bacterium. RNAcentral's name for it is "partial 16S ribosomal RNA". It matches the Rfam family "Bacterial small subunit ribosomal RNA", at positions 524 to 776 of the family's 1533-position model. The record is from RNAcentral.